UGCUUCAAGUCUGGCCAAUACU
Molecule: microRNA, 22 nt
Filed under: Fragaria vesca subsp. vesca
Lineage: Eukaryota; Viridiplantae; Streptophyta; Magnoliopsida; Rosales; Rosaceae
Description: fve-miR11289
Source: miRBase by way of RNAcentral